RNAcentral lists this long non-coding RNA (204 nucleotides) under Elaeis guineensis (African oil palm). Its description in RNAcentral is "long non-coding RNA (EGUI_LNC056848)". The record is from RNAcentral. Lineage: Eukaryota; Viridiplantae; Streptophyta; Magnoliopsida; Arecales; Arecaceae.
UUUUCUUGAACACCCUCCUCCCUUGGUUUGUCUUUCUCUAUCUUUCUUAUCUCUUUAUCUUCCUUUACUAUCUUCCUAAGCCCUUGUCCUAAUUCAAACUUGCCCUUACUAUAUAUGAACUUGUCCUAACAAGGGAAGGAAGAAAGAAAUUGGACAAACUAGAGAUGAAUGUAAGAAAGAAGAGAUAGGCUUCUGAAUACCAAA